GCUGGCGGCAGGCUUAACACAUGCAAGUCGAGCGGGCGUAGCAAUACGUCAGCUGCAGACGGGUGAGUAACGCGUGGGAACAUACCUUUUGGUUCGGAACAACACAGGGAAACUUGUGCUAAUACCGGAUAAGCCCUUACGGGGAAAGAUUUAUCGCCGAAAGAUUGGCCCGCGUCUGAUUAGCUAGUUGGUGAGGUAAUGGCUCACCAAGGCGACGAUCAGUAGCUGGUCUGAGAGGAUGAUCAGCCACAUUGGGACUGAGACACGGCCCAAACUCCUACGGGAGGCAGCAGUGGGGAAUAUUGGACAAUGGGCGCAACCCUGAUCCAGCCAUGCCGCGUGAGUGAAGAAGGCCUUCGGGUUGUAAAGCUCUUUCGGACGGGACGAAAUGGUUACGGUGAAUAGCUGUGACUGAUGACGGUACCGUAAUAAGAAGCACCGGCUAACUACGUGCCAGCAGCCGCGGUUAUACGUAGGGUGCGAGCGUUAAUCGGAAUUACUGGGCGUAAAGCGUGCGCAGGCGGUUCGCCAAGUCAGGUGUGAAAUCCCCGGGCUUAACCUGGGAAUUGCGCUUGAAACUAGCGGGCUUGAGUGUGGCAGAGGGGGGUGGAAUUCCACGUGUAGCAGUGAAAUGCGUAGAGAUGUGGAGGAACACCGAUGGCGAAGGCAGCCCCCUGGGUCAACACUGACGCUCAUGCACGAAAGCG
RNAcentral lists this ribosomal RNA (707 nucleotides) under uncultured soil bacterium. Its description in RNAcentral is "bacterial SSU rRNA". It matches the Rfam family "Bacterial small subunit ribosomal RNA", at positions 35 to 761 of the family's 1533-position model. The record is from RNAcentral.